This 893-nucleotide ribosomal RNA is filed under the name Streptomyces sp. E2BS18_pA. RNAcentral describes it as "bacterial SSU rRNA". It matches the Rfam family "Bacterial small subunit ribosomal RNA", at positions 8 to 916 of the family's 1533-position model. The record is from RNAcentral. Lineage: Bacteria; Bacillati; Actinomycetota; Actinomycetes; Kitasatosporales; Streptomycetaceae.
AGAGUUUGAUCCUGGCUCAGGAUGAACGCUGGCGGCGUGCUUAACACAUGCAAGUCGAACGAUGAAGCCUUUCGGGGUGGAUUAGUGGCGAACGGGUGAGUAACACGUGGGCAAUCUGCCCUUCACUCUGGGACAAGCCCUGGAAACGGGGUCUAAUACCGGAUAACACUCCUGCCUGCAUGGGCGGGGGUUAAAAGCUCCGGCGGUGAAGGAUGAGCCCGCGGCCUAUCAGCUUGUUGGUGGGGUAAUGGCCUACCAAGGCGACGACGGGUAGCCGGCCUGAGAGGGCGACCGGCCACACUGGGACUGAGACACGGCCCAGACUCCUACGGGAGGCAGCAGUGGGGAAUAUUGCACAAUGGGCGAAAGCCUGAUGCAGCGACGCCGCGUGAGGGAUGACGGCCUUCGGGUUGUAAACCUCUUUCAGCAGGGAAGAAGCGAAAGUGACGGUACCUGCAGAAGAAGCGCCGGCUAACUACGUGCCAGCAGCCGCGGUAAUACGUAGGGCGCAAGCGUUGUCCGGAAUUAUUGGGCGUAAAGAGCUCGUAGGCGGCUUGUCACGUCGGAUGUGAAAGCCCGGGGCUUAACCCCGGGUCUGCAUUCGAUACGGGCUAGCUAGAGUGUGGUAGGGGAGAUCGGAAUUCCUGGUGUAGCGGUGAAAUGCGCAGAUAUCAGGAGGAACACCGGUGGCGAAGGCGGAUCUCUGGGCCAUUACUGACGCUGAGGAGCGAAAGCGUGGGGAGCGAACAGGAUUAGAUACCCUGGUAGUCCACGCCGUAAACGUUGGGAACUAGGUGUUGGCGACAUUCCACGUCGUCGGUGCCGCAGCUAACGCAUUAAGUUCCCCGCCUGGGGAGUACGGCCGCAAGGCUAAAACUCAAAGGAAUUGACGG